CCAGUGUGGGUUAAUUUGGCGGAGGCCUUAUGACACCUACUCCUCUAUUACUGAAGAGCGCAAAUGGUCGGCUGCUUUGAAUGGGUCAGGCUUAUCUUCAAAGGCCUACUGGCUCUUCAUCCAUGUGUGGCAGUGACCGAGCAGUGCAAGAGGCUGGCAAGGCCGCUUGCCAAACAGCUCUAACAUGCCAGACUGAGCACAAGGGAAACUGCAGCUCAAGAGUUUAACCUCUAUUCUGUGCAUUUUGGUUAAGGGGUACUGGCAUUUGUCCGGGAGUCACGACCUCAUGUCUGGACUCAAGAUGCUUGAAAUCAAAAUUUGUUCACCCUCUACUUAGCUGUUUAUUAAAUCUAAAUAGGCGAGUCAAAGCAUUUUGAUGACGUUGCUUGAGACUCAUGAGAUGCAACCUAGGUGAGAGUAUGAGGUAGUCAUUAUUUCUCCACCUGAACAAAGGCAGAUCUCUUCUCUCCAGUCAAACAGGGUAGCUUGGUUGGUUGGUUUGGAUGUUAUUAUGGCUUGUGACAACUAGGAUCAGCAUUUUAUAAGGCAA
Etheostoma cragini (Arkansas darter) is the source of this 550-nucleotide long non-coding RNA. RefSeq lists it as uncharacterized. The transcript has 2 exons. The record is from RefSeq and is a predicted model, not a curated record. Lineage: Eukaryota; Metazoa; Chordata; Actinopteri; Perciformes; Percidae.